UACGAAGGGGGCGAGCGUUGUUCGGAUUUACUGGGCGUAAAGGGCGCGCAGGCGGCAGACCAAGUCAGGCGUGAAAGCCCCGGGCUUAACCUGGGAGGUGCGUCUGGGACUGGUAUGCUAGAGUUCGGGAGAGGAGAGUGGAAUUCCCAGUGUAGAGGUGAAAUUCGUAGAUAUUGGGAAGAACACCGGUGGCGAAGGCGGCUCUCUGGACCGAGACUGACGCUGAGGCGCGAAAGCCAGGGGAGCGAACGGG
This 253-nucleotide ribosomal RNA is filed under the name uncultured bacterium. RNAcentral's name for it is "partial 16S ribosomal RNA". It matches the Rfam family "Bacterial small subunit ribosomal RNA", at positions 524 to 776 of the family's 1533-position model. The record is from RNAcentral.